GACGAUAACGAACGAGACCUUAACCUGCUAAAUAGUUGCAUUAACUUUGGUUGAUGAUCAACUUCUUAGAGGGACUAUAGACGUUUAGUCUAUGGAAGUUUGAGGCAAUAACAGGUCUGUGAUGCCCUUAGAUGUUCUGGGCCGCACGCGCGCUACACUGAUAAAGGCAACAAGUAAUUCACCUUGACCGGAAGGUCUGGGUAGUCUUUUGAAACUUUAUCGUGCUGGGGAUAGUCCUUUGCAAUUAUUGGACUUUAACGAGGAAUUCCUAGUAAGCGUGAGUCAUCAGCUCGCGUUGAUUACGUCCCUGCCCUUUGUACACACCGCCCGUCGCUACUACCGAUUGAAUGGCUAA
This 355-nucleotide ribosomal RNA is filed under the name Eukaryota sp. RNAcentral's name for it is "SSU rRNA". It matches the Rfam family "Eukaryotic small subunit ribosomal RNA", at positions 1324 to 1700 of the family's 1831-position model. The record is from RNAcentral.